GAUCUCUUAGUGUUGAUAAAAGAGGCCUUUCCCUUUGCUCAGAUACCAGAGUCUUUCAAUAAGGCUAGAAAUGUGAUAAGAGAUUUGGGUCUUGAUUAUGAAAAAAUACAUGCAUGUCCUAAUGAUUGCAUGUUAUUCUGGAAGGAAAAUGAGAAAGUUGAGAUUUGCUCUGUAUGUGGGACUUCUAGAUGGAAGAGUGUUGGUGGUGCCUCAACCAAUGCAAGCUCUAAAAUUCCUGCAAAGGUUUUAAGAUACUUUCCCUUAAAGCCUAGGCUUCAGAGGAUGUUCAUGUGUCCUGAAACAGCUGUUGCAAUUAAAUGGCAUGCUAAUGAACGACCGAAUGACGGAAAUCUAAGGCAUCUUGCUGAUGGCCAAGCAUGGAAGGAUUUUGAUCGUUUGUAUCCCAACUUCUCUAGAGAUCCUCGUAAUGUUAGGUUAGGUCUCUCGAGUGAUGGUUUCAAUCCAUUUCGAACCAUCAGUAUUUCUCGUAGCACAUGGCCUGUUAUGCUGAUGAACUAUAAUUUAUCACCAUGGAUUUGCAUAAAGUCGGAGUAUCUUAUGUUUGUCAAUUAUCAUUCCAGGCCCAUCUUCUCCUGGAAAUGAUAUUGAUGUAUAUUUGCAACCACUACUUGAUGAAUUAAAUGAACUAUGGGAAUCUUAAAUAGAUACUUAUGAUGCUGAAACCAAAUAAACAUUCAAAAUACGUGCAACCUUAAUGUGGACAGUUAGUGAUUUCCAGAAUUACCAAUGCUUUCAGGAUGGAGCACUAAGGGAAAAUUGGCAUGCCCUACUUGAAAUCGUAACACAUGCUCUCAAUAUCUCAAACAUAGUCGAAAGAUGUGUUAUUUGGGUCAUCGAAGAUUUUUUCCACUUGAUCAUCCAUUGCGAAAAGAUAGGAAGUCAUUUGAUGGUAAGGAGGAACAUAGACCUGCACCCAUUCCUUUGUUGGGUAUAGAAGUUCUUGAAGAGUUGUGCGAAUUCAACAAUAUUUUUGGAAAGGGCAAAAAGAAAAGGAAGGGUCCUUGGAAGAAAAGAUCUAUUUUUUUGAAUUGUCAUAUUGACCAGAUAACAAAUUGAGGCACAAUCUUGAUCCAAUGCACAUAGAAAAGAAUAUAUGUGAUAGUUUGCUUGGGACUUUAUUGGAGAUAGAUGGAAAGUCAAAGGAUCAUGUAAAUUUUCGAUAUGACUUACAAGAAAUAGGAAUACGGGAGGAGCUACAACCGGUAGAAGAUAGUAACGGAAAUGCUUUUCAUCACGUUACAGGGACUCCGUUAGGCAAAUCACACCUGGAUUGCCUCUUUUCUUGCUGCUAGCUUUGGUUGGCUCAAACAUUGAUCCAUCUACUUGGGAGGACAAGAAGCACCCUGGUGAAUUUUGCUUUUCUGCUCAGAGACUUAAAAAAUCAUGAAUCAACAAGGGUAUUCGAGAAAUCAUCAGAAAGCUAAAAACUUUCUUUCAGCUGGAUCACUAGCAGCUCUACAAAACAAACAAAUACUAUAACACAAGAAGAAGAAGAAGAACACAGGCUGCAUAAAUGCAAAGGAAAAGAAUCAAAAGUAGAAGGAGAAGUCAAACAACGUUCCACCUAUAUCUCUAGUACCAGAACAAGUGCAACAGGUGCCAGCUAUAUCUCUAAGUAUCAGAACAAGCGCAACAGGUGUCUCCGGAUUCCACCUCUCUUGCAGAACCAGUAGAGGAGCAAGUGCGACAAGAAUUGCUAGACUCCUCCAUUCGUGCAUCAAAACCCACAGUUGAACGAGUGCAGCAAGAUCAGUCACUACUUCCUAAUUUACAAGCAAAUGAACAAUCUAGAGUAUAUUUUAGUUCAUACUAGUUAAAAAAAUGUCUGCAUUUUAGUAAUUUUAUUGUUGAUAUUAUUGUAGGCCCUUCAACUAAUAAAAGAAAAAGAGGCGCUACACAAAUGCAAGCAGUACAUGGACGGACUAACCGUCAACUGAUAGUUCUAAAUGAGUUGAACCAGCCUAUUGGUCCAACUAAAGCGUGGUCACUGAAUUUUCCAGCUUUCUUGGCACAUUGGCAAGGAAUGAGACAUUUUGUCCUCUUAAUCUCACUUGAACAAAGUUGAAGACAUGCGAUGAAAUGUGGAGCUAUAUUCAGGAGAAAUAUGACAUUCCCAACAACGGGAAAGAUUGGGCUAUGAGUUCAAUUGAUGCAGCGUUUAGAGGGUUUAAGUCCAGACUAAGAAAGAUUACUUUUAUGCCUACACCAAUGAUGAAAUUCGAAGGGCAAAAAGGCCUACCUUUGUUCCAGAACCUAUAUUUGAGGAUCUCUUUAAGUAUUGGAAUUUAGAAUAAGUUGAGGAUACUUCCAAGACUAACGAAGAAAACAGGAAAAAAUUUAAGUAUCCACACACUAUGGGCAAAACAAGUUUUGCUUUAAUCUGCGAGGAAAAAAAGAAGGAAAAUUCUGGUGUUUUGUCAAAUAAGGAAUUCUUUGUGGCUACUAGAACAAGGAAACCGGAUCGAGUAUAUAAGGACACAUCUAAAGAGAUCAGAAACAAAAUAGUUGAAAUGGAGAGAGUAGAGACUCAGGAAAAUGAAGAUAGUAAUCAAUCAACUGAUGCAUUCACACCAGUUAUGGGGACUGAUCCUGGUCGAGUAAGACUACUCGGACGUGGUGUUAUCAAGACUCUUUUGAAACAGAAAGCAAGUGAUUCUGGAUCCUCUUCAAAACCUGAUGAACUGGUAGAGAAGAGAUUAGAUGAGCUAGAAGAGAUGAUGCAACAAAGAAUGAAUGCUCAAAGAGAUGUCAUUGAGCGAGAAGUUAUAAUGAACAUCAUUGCAUAGCUUCAGCGUCUAAAUCCAGGAUUAACACUUGAUCUUAAUAUGCUAGGAUUCAAUGUUCAUUCGUGAUACGAGUCAAAUGGCCACCUUAGCUUUCGAUGACAUCAUUUGAAGUCAGGACGUGGGGCAUCAAGCUUUGGUCACAUUGAGGAUACGGGAUCCUACAUGGAGGGGUCGAUUUGCGUACACCAAAGAGCAAUCCCACACGUGGAAGAUUGCUGGAGCAUUAAUAAUUGAGGACUCACGGUUUUGGGCCUUCAUUAUGGGCAUUUUGGUCACUUAGCCUUGUCCAAGUAACACUCUAUGACCACCUUUUUUCAUUAAGAGUAUUAUGGUUAUUUUGUUAUGUAAUAAGUUAGACUAUAAAUAGGUUCUAUUAGUUCAUUUGCUAGUUAGUUUUUAUGAAUGAUUAAAUAUUAAAAGUCCUCUCUUUGAGAGUAGAACACCUUAGUGUAGUCUUAGUUAGGGCUUGGAAAAACCAAUAUUGACAUUUGCUUAGAAACAGUGGUUCUUGAGGUGAGUUGAUUCCCUUAGCGGUCAUCGUAAGAAGAUUGGUGUUUGAUUAUUGCGACUUUGAGGGCCUCUUCAUUCAAUACAUGUGUUGGUUCUCAUUGUUUCGUAAGAUCUUAUGUCAUCUUGCUUAUUCCUUAUCUUAUUUCACUUUGUAUGUUUGUAUCAUGUCUUCUUUAUCUCAUGUAUUUGCGUUGUUGGUGUGA
Molecule: RNA transcript, 3520 nt
Organism: Capsicum annuum
Lineage: Eukaryota; Viridiplantae; Streptophyta; Magnoliopsida; Solanales; Solanaceae
Gene name: B2 protein
Exons: 8
Source: RefSeq, a predicted model, not a curated record